Molecule: long non-coding RNA, 458 nt
Organism: Mercenaria mercenaria
Lineage: Eukaryota; Metazoa; Mollusca; Bivalvia; Venerida; Veneridae
Exons: 3
Source: RefSeq, a predicted model, not a curated record
CUACCGGCAUCGAUUGAACAAUGACUAUCUAGUUUUUUACCAAGUGAAAUCGUGUCACCAGUCGAAGAUAUUUGUCACUGCAAACGAAACAGGGUGUACAAUACAAUUCCCAGUGAAAACAAAAGAAAAUGCAGCGGUUGCCUUCGACACAUUAGUAUCAAAGGCUCGUCAACGGAUAUCAACGUUUCCGGGCGGCUUAAAAUUUUCCGAAAUGAUACCAUUACAUAUGCUGCCUGUGGACUUGUGUGUAAUUAGAAGAGACUCAGCUGAAGCGAUCUUCUGUUAUUUUGUAUAUGAGCUCAGACAUGCCAAUGGAAAUCCAGAUUUACUAAAGCAGCUAAUAGCAAAAAAUGACAUAAACACAAAACGAAAACAGUAUUGUGGUAACGCUAGCGAUGUAUUACACAAAAUGGUUGCAAAGAUGGCAUCUGAAAAAUACAACUGCAAUGCUGAAGAAG